Molecule: ribosomal RNA, 468 nt
Filed under: uncultured bacterium
Lineage: Bacteria
Description: partial 16S ribosomal RNA
Rfam family: Bacterial small subunit ribosomal RNA
Source: RNAcentral
GACGAACGCUGGCGGCGUGCUUAACACAUGCAAGUCGAACGGAAAGGCCCUGCUUUUGUGGGGUGCUCGAGUGGCGAACGGGUGAGUAACACGUGAGUAACCUGCCCUUGACUUUGGGAUAACAUCAGGAAACUGGGGCUAAUACCGGAGAGGAGCUCCUGCUGCAUGGGGGGGGUUGGAAAGUUUCGGCGGUAGGGGCUGUACUCGCGGGUUAUCAGCUUGUUUGGGGGGUAGUGGCUUACCAAGGCUUAGACGGGUAGCCGGCCUGAGAGGGUGACCGGCCACAUUGGGACUGAGAUACGGCCCAGACUCCUACGGGAGGCAGCAGUGGGGAAUAUUGCACAAUGGGCGGAAGCCUGAUGCAGCAACGCCGCGUGCGGGAUGACGUCCUUCGGGUUGUAAACCGCUUUCGCCUGUGACGAAGAGUGAGUGACGGUAAUGGGUCAAGAAGCACCGGCUAACUACGUG